UUGCGGUCCUUAGGCGAUGUGGUUGGAGAGGGUUGAGUCGUAGUUGGACUACUAUCACCGAUUUUAUUACUAACAGCUCUUGCCCCAAAUUUCUAAACAGUCUUCUGCAUUUUGGAUUUGUAAUUGUGGUCUAUAGGAUUUGGCAAGAACGGAAUGCUAGAAUUUUCACUCAAGUAGCUAUCCCUGUUCGGAUCAUUAUCCAAGAUAUUAUUCACUUGCUUAAGUGUGGUCUCCAUACUAAUGCUCGGUUUCAAAGAAUUAAAUCCAAGUUAUGCUAUCAACAUCUUGCUCUGUAAUCUGUAAUUUGUUAUCGGUUUCUGAUUUAUGGUUUCCUAGCUUGAUAUAUAGCUUCAUCUAUGUGUAUUCUGC
RNAcentral lists this long non-coding RNA (369 nucleotides) under Panax ginseng (ginseng). RNAcentral describes it as "long non-coding RNA (PGIN_LNC007399)". The record is from RNAcentral. Lineage: Eukaryota; Viridiplantae; Streptophyta; Magnoliopsida; Apiales; Araliaceae.